ACAACCUUUUUUUUUAUUAUUUAUUUUCUUUUCUUUUCUUUUCUUUUUUUUUAAAUCACAUUUAUAUAAUCUAAAUUCCAAACAAAUGAACAAAAAUUACAUUAAUUAAUUUAAAAUUUACAGAAAUAGUCCGUAAACAUCCAUAGGCUUCUGGAAUACGCAGGAACAGUGUUCGGAGCAGUGGCGGCGCGUCUUCCCACGCGCCACGUCACUGGCGGCACGUGGGUUCACGCGCCGCCAAUGGAAAACCUGAAAAACAAAGGGGGCUGGAGCGGCUCGUUCUCCUCUUCCUUUCCUCGCCGGCGGUGAAGAUCACCGCCACCUGCAACAACAAAAAAAACUCACAAACAGCAAUCGGUUUUUAUUUUUCUUCCCGUUACAGAUCUGCUUCUUUUUGAUCUGCAGAAGCAGAUCGGUUCUUUUCCUUCUUCAGAUCGAUCUCGCCUCUAUUUUCGUUCCUCUGCUGGUUGCUGGAUCUUCAGACGGCGGGGGGCUGGAGGCUGGAGCUGCUGCGGGGGCCCGAAGAUGGAAAAAUCUGUGGUGUUGCUGAUGGCGAUCGAUUGAAGGAGAAAGUACUGGGUGGAGACGAGGAGCUGCUGCCGUUGGAAGACGCCGCUGAUGGUCUGGAGGAGGAGGAGACGACGAACAUAUAUGGGUCCGUGAGCACCUCUGUGUUCGGGCUGAAGAGAUCGCCGGCGAAGAAGACGCUGCUGAGGGGGAAAGUGAGAUGGGGGUCUCGGGCGCAAAAAAUCAAUCCGGGGAAGGGGCUGUUCGGUUUUGUAGGAGAAGGGAAAGGAUUUGUGUGGCUUCGGGGGAGAUGACGGGGAGAUUGAAAAAAAAAGCUGUGGCCGGUUGAGGGAGAAGAAACAAAAAUUCAAAAAGUGAGGGGCUGGCUUGGGAAAAAAUGGGAGAAGAUAUCUUGGCCGGCGGCUGGGAAAAAUUAAAACCAGAGGGGGGCUGCCAAAGGGAUUGGGGCUUGUGGGUGUCUCCCCCCUCCUGCUGGAUCUUCGAAAAAAAUAGCACCCAUCUCCCCCCUUUUGCAAAGCUGGGGAUGAGAAGAAA
This 1062-nucleotide long non-coding RNA is filed under the name Populus tremula. RNAcentral's name for it is "long non-coding RNA (PTRE_LNC003472)". The record is from RNAcentral. Lineage: Eukaryota; Viridiplantae; Streptophyta; Magnoliopsida; Malpighiales; Salicaceae.